GCUGGGUGUGGUGGCGGGCGCCUGUAAUCCCAGCUACUCAGGAGGCUGAGGCAGGGGAAUAGUUUGAGCCCGGGAGACAGAGGUUGCAGUGAGCUGAGACUGAGCCACUGCACUCUAGCCUGGGCAACAGAGCAAGACUCUGUCUCAA
Molecule: non-coding RNA, 148 nt
Organism: Homo sapiens (human)
Lineage: Eukaryota; Metazoa; Chordata; Mammalia; Primates; Hominidae
Rfam family: Metazoan signal recognition particle RNA
About the family: The signal recognition particle (SRP) is a universally conserved ribonucleoprotein. It is involved in the co-translational targeting of proteins to membranes.
Source: Rfam